Long non-coding RNA from Galeopterus variegatus (Sunda flying lemur), 538 nucleotides. RefSeq lists it as uncharacterized. The transcript has 2 exons. The record is from RefSeq and is a predicted model, not a curated record. Lineage: Eukaryota; Metazoa; Chordata; Mammalia; Dermoptera; Cynocephalidae.
AGGACAUAUACAAAGGGCUCAGGAAAUACUGGCCAUGAUUAUAAGCGAGAAUUCAAAGAGUGCCAUGGAAACACAGAAGAGAGAGGUCCGAAGCGAGCCGCCUCCUCGGAGGCAGUGUCCUAAGGGAUAAGGCUACUUAACACGGGUUCCAAAUCGUGAUGAAAUGGACAUCGAAUGUCAAUUGAAGGACUCUGAAUUUACCCUUUAGCCGAAGUGUCUUUGCAUAUGUAAUUAAGCUAAGAAGGAGAUGAGAUCAUCUUGGAUUACCCAGCUGUGUACUAAGUCCAGUGACAAAUGUCCUUAUAAGAGACAGUAAAAGAAAAGAUACGCCAAGGAAAAGGCAAUGUGAAGAUGGAGGCAGAGACUGGAAUGUUGUGCCCACAAGCCAAGGAAGCUGGCAACUAUCAGAAGCUGGAAGAGGCAAAGAACGGAUUCUCCCCUACAUUCCAUUUAGGACACUUGGCCCUGCUAACACUUUGAUUUUGGACUUCUGGCCUCCAGACUAAGAGAAUAAAUUUCCAUGUUUUAAGACACUAAA